This 465-nucleotide ribosomal RNA is filed under the name uncultured bacterium. RNAcentral describes it as "partial 16S ribosomal RNA". It matches the Rfam family "Bacterial small subunit ribosomal RNA", at positions 28 to 507 of the family's 1533-position model. The record is from RNAcentral.
GACGAACGCUGGCGGCGUGCUUAACACAUGCAAGUCGAACGGAAAGGCCCCUUUGGGGGUACUCGAGUGGCGAACGGGUGUGUAACACGUGCGUAACCUGCCCUUGACUUCGGGAUAACUUCAGGAAACUGGGGCUAAUACCGGAUAGGAAUCCUUGCUGCAGGGUGGGGGUUGGAAAGCUUCGGCGGUUUUGGAUGGACUCGCGGCUUAUCACCUUGUUGGUGGGGUAGUGGCUUACCAAGGCUUUGACGGGUACCCGGCCUGGGGGGGCGACCGGCCAAAUUGGGGCCGGGGUACGGGCCAGACUCCUACGGGGGGCAGCAGGGGGGAAUAUUGCACAAUGGGCGGGAGCCUGAUGCAGCAGCGCCGCGUGCGGGAUGACGGGCUUCGGGUUGUAAACCGCUUUCAGCAGGGGCGGAGCUUGUGGUGACGGUACCUGCAGAAGAAGCACCGGCUAACUACGUG